Molecule: long non-coding RNA, 5283 nt
Filed under: Equus caballus (horse)
Lineage: Eukaryota; Metazoa; Chordata; Mammalia; Perissodactyla; Equidae
Description: lncRNA (ENSECAG00000045374.1)
Source: RNAcentral
CUCUCAGCCCCAUCGCCUUCACCACAUCUCCAAGGUGGGGAGAAGGGCUGAAGAUUGAGUUCAACAUGGGGUUCAGAGAACUCCCAGAAGCCAGGAAGUAUCAAGAGCCUUGGACAUCACUGGGAAACUCCAUGCCUCACGCUGGCCCCAGUCCACAGGAAAGACUGAAAAGAUGAACCAAGAAACUACUUAACCUGGGACAAGGUGUUGAGAAGAUUCUUGGCUUCACCCAUGGGGGAGAUUACAUACAACAGAAGGAAAUAGCGAUCAGGCAGUGCUUAAAAUUUUUAAAUGAAAGUCUAACUUCUGUUCAUGAGUUUGCCUCUCACAGCUCCGUGUUCCCGUCAGAUGUUGCACUCCACCACACCAAGGCAGGUGACCAAGUUCUCCUUAAGUCUUGGAAGGAGACUUCCAGAGGAUCAACUACCCCCCAAGUGGACCAGGCAUUAUGAAGCCCUCCUGACCACCCACCCAUCAGCCAAACUGGCCAGAGUCAAGCUGCAGACUCAUCACACCCGAGUCAGUCCUGGCUCCCCACCCCAUGACCAGAGAACUCAGAAGCUGAAAAGAAAAUAAACUGGUCUUUUGAGCUGCUGAAAGACCUUAAGCUGCUGUUAUGGAUUAAGGCAGCUGACAUCAAACAGUCAUAUAAGUAAAAUGAGUCAGGUUCCGGCAUUUUGGGUUCUGGAAUUUUGGGUUAAUCAAAUAUGGAAUAACCUGCUGUUCUAAGACUGUAGAGAAAGGCACUCAAACAAUGGUAAAGCAAAAUAUAACCCGGUACCCGAGAACAUUUUAAAAAUUUCCUUCCUCAGUUUAGCCAUCUUUGCCCCCUUUCCGGCAGGAAGUAGUGAGAACAAUCAGUGGCCUUCUUCCUGCAAGAAUGAGGAUGGAAAAAAGACAGUGGGGAUUGAAGCUGGGUACCUGGGGGUUACUGUAGAUAUUCCAUGAGAAUAGGAUUGCCCUUGACCUUGUUCCCAAUGCAGACCUAGAUGAAUCUUGUCGAUUGGCUGUUUUCUUGUUUAGCUUGUGAGGUGACUCAGGUCUCGAGGAUUUGUGAGUUUACUUUGCAGAAGAAAGAGAAUGCCUUUGGGGAGGAUGUCGGGCCCUCAGAAGGUACCGAUGCCCAGAAGUCAGAUUGCCCAGGGGCUUAUCAGGAGCGACCCCUUUGUUUCUCCAAAGCUCCUCCUGCCAAGACCCUUAGCUCCAUAAAACCCCCUGCUUUCAGUUCUUGGGGAGGAGAUUUGAGCAAACCCCGGCUCCCACCUUCUCGUUUUGGUCAGUCUGAAUAAACCCUUCUCCAGCUCCAAGCACCAAUGUCUCAGUGCUUGGCUUGCUGCACAUCAGGCACAGGAACCUGAGAUAAGAGGUUUGAUCACCUCCACCAAGUCUCUAGCCUACUAAAGACUGAAGGACAUCUCUUGGAAAGACAGCCUUUGUUUAACACUUCGUGGAGACUUUUAAAGGAGGGGCACACUGUCCUAAAGUUUUAAAACGAUAGCUGUGGAGUCUUUGUGGAUGUGUGUCUACAUCUAUGUUACAUAUGUGUGAUGUUUUACCUCCAGAUGGUAUAAUUCUUUUAAAACUCCAUUUAAUUGGCUUAAAGUAAGCACUUAUAUAAAUUAUUUCUAAAUAUAAUAGGAACUAACCCAAAUGUCUUUCAGGUUAACAUGAUGUGAAAUAAUCUUUGGUAAACAAAAGCUUGUUAAACUUUGUUGGUUUGAUUAAAUAGGCAUGUCCUCACAGUUAUGAACAUUGGUUAUAAUACAGACAUGCAGCCUGGGUUUACUAGUCAAAUAAGCUCAGGUUAUCUCUGUCACAAAACUGGUUAGCAAUAGCAAUCACUUAAAGUGAUAGUUAAUUUUGUCUGAUGUCUCAUAAAGUUUUGUGGGUAAUCUAAACAUAAUUGCUGAGAAGAAAUGACUUAGAUGUAAGUGAGAUAAAAGUUUAUAGAUAAGCUUUUAGCAAUAAUUAUAUUUUAUGGCAUGUGUCUUUAAAAUAACUUCCAAAAUCUCUUUGGAAAUUUGAAACUUUGAAAUUUUUCUAUGUUAAAUUAAAUGAUGGGAAAUUCAUUGACUCAUCUCUAAACUAGAUAAAACAUUAGACAUUAAUUAGUAAAUAUAAGUUUGUCUACUUUUGGCUUCUCAUUACAGAUAAACUACAAGAUGUUUGGGUCUGUUGGUAAACAUGACUUGUACUUUUAUUAGAAGAUUGUACUGUGAAGUAGCAUGUUCCUAGAAAUUGUGAAAAGUAAUAUAUGUUGUAAAGUCACAGAAUGCUAAUGUAAAAGAUAGUUUAUAAUAGCUUACUUCUUAGUUUUCACUGAAAACUAAGGUCUAUGAAGGUUAAGAAUUCUUAUUAAUAUUGGUAAUUAAAACUACUAAAAAUUAGGGGCCAGCCCUGUGACCGACUGUUUAAGUUCGUGUGCUCUGCUUUGGCGGCCCAGGGUUUCACCAGUUCCGAUCCUGGGAGCAUCAUGGCACGGCUCAUCAAGCCAUGCUGAGGUGGCAUCCCACAUGCCACAACAACAGGGACCCACAAAAGAAAAAAAUACACAACUAUGUACCGGGGGGCUUUGAGGAGAAAAAGGAAAAAUAAAAUCUUUAAAAAAAAACCUAGUAAAAAUUAAUAAGAAACACAUCUUUGUAUUCAAGAAAAGUAAGGUGUGUGUUUUCAGUAAAGAAGGUAUAAAGAAUGGAAACAUUUAUGUUGUUUUGUUAAGAAAGAUAAAUUUGUCCUAAAACACUAGAAGAGAAGAAGAGGGCAUGGGACAAAUUCUGAAUGGAAAAAGAAACUUAGAAAAGGUUUGUGGAAGAGGAACCCUGAGGAGAGAGUUUUGUGAAUGGCCAAGUUGGCUAAGAUUAAAAUGAAUUUAAUUAAGGGAGUGAGUUUUAAUGUCAAAAGCAGGUCAGUACAAAAUUAGAAUUUGGUUCUUUCCUUCUCUUAAAAGGAUAAUUUUCCUAAACUUUUAGUCUGCUCUUCAUAAAGAGAUUACGAUGACUCACUCCUACCCCUAAUAAGGACCAUAAAAGUUAGAACGGCUAGCUUACUGUGGAAGGUUACAGAUAGACAUACAGCCGUUGGUGGUCUUCUCCCACAUCAUGGCAGACCCGGGAGGAGUCUUAGCUGAUAUGUCUUGCUGUCUCUAUGUUACUACUAGUGGCACUACAGAAGAGAGUGAAACCGGGUCACUGGAAAAGGCCACUUGGCUGACAGGAAGAAGCCAGUCAGACCACCUGCUCCUGAGCCCCUGAACAACUGUCCUUCUUCUCCUGCUCUUUGGACCCCGCAUAUUCAAUUGUCUGGUAGCUUAUUGAGGCUGUGAAAUUACACCUGGUUGUUACACAAGGAUACAAACAACAGGGGGUUAUGCCUGGUGACCCACAAACCUGUCAUAGAUUAGCUGGGGAAAGUUCUGCUCCUCUAGUGGUCCCUGUGACAACACUCACACCCAGCAGGAAGCCAUUACAGAAAUGGAGGAGCAGGAUCAAACUAGAGGAGGGCUCUUGUCACCGACUAAUUGCCUUGAGGAACUCGAGUGAGAUUUCAGAAGCAUGUUUUCCUCCUGAGCCUGAGCAAGUGAAUAACCACCUCUCCCUUUUCAAUGUUCAUUCCGCAUCCAAAAUAAAAUGCCCUUGCUGUCCUGUGCUUGGGGAGCCACGACUUUGGAAAGGAUUCCAUGUGGUCGCCUUAUUUGCAGCAGAUAAAUUUUACUCUGUGUGACAACUACAUCUGAUGAAGCCUCUGAUUUCAAUUCACUAAGAAGCAGACCCUCUUUGGUUUGGAAACAGAUCCACAUCAGAAGAAGCAAGCCACGGAGACCUGCAGCUACUCCCCCCACCUCCACUGAGCAUGCAAUUCUAGAGUGGAAGUGUCACUCAGACGUAAGUGUGCCCUUGUUCCCAUCCGCAGGUCCAUGGCUGGCUGGGAUACUUUACCUCAGUGGGGAAGCUCCUAAUCUCUUCCCAGAGGAACUGCCUUCAUCUGCAACACGGCACGGAGAAGUUCAAGCCUAAGCAAAGGGCAUCAGAUCUGAAAUACAAGCAGCAACAGGAGAAUAUGAAGAGGAGGAGUCUUAAAAGUCAACUCAAAAAACGGGUUGUAGAGACUCCUCAUCCUGAGGUGUGAGGGAGGUGAUUUAAGACAAGGCGAUAACCCACCUGAAGCCAAGCCUUAUCUGUGUCCAGCCCUGCUCGCCUGACUGGGGAAGACCAAUCGACAGUUCUUGAAGGUAAACCAGAGUCGAGCUGCAUGGUAUCUUCUCGAGGUGGAGACUGGGGGGCUGUUGACCAAUCAGCUGAAAGGACCAGCGUAACAGAGCCAGCAACUGAGAACUGAGACAGCUGGGACAGAAGUCAGCCUACCCCACAACAAACUGGAAAACAUCGAGAAGACUAUCACACAUACAGGUAUGGACGCAGUGACGGGACCAGGGUCUGCACCUUGAAGUUUAAACUAAGAAUACUAUGGAGCACCACAAUUACAUAGCCACUUAAAUAAUAUUUGUUUCAUUCUUGAUUUUGUAAAUGAAUAGUUGCAGGAGAUGGUUUAUAAAAUAUUGUAUAUUAUCUCUGUAGUCGAUGUACAUCGUUUCUAAGUAAGCAUGAAACCUGGCUCAAAUGCUUUCACUUCUAAAAGUCUGUGUGGGGGAUGCGUGGAGGCCCUGUCUAGAUGCGAGCCACGGUGGCAUUCGGAGCAAUGAGGGGCACCAUGGCUUUGUCACCAAUGACCUAGAAGUGCCAAGGGAAUUCUGCCAUUUCUGGGGCCCUUGAGGAAGGUUCUGCCAAGAUGAGUGCCUCAGAGACAAGGAUCUCUCCCCAGCCUGAGUUCAAUGAAAGUACAGGAAAAGGAAAAAGAAAGGAAUGGUGAGUGUUGCGCUCUUCCCCUCAGAGGGCACCUCUAGCAGUGGUUCCACUGGGGGUGGACAAUUUUUUGGCAUCUGGCUCCUUAACAAGGCUCUCGGGACCCCACUCGGGCUGCAGGGGAUGGGGUGUGAGUGCUAAAGCUCCUUCGUGAGGGGCCGCAGACUUACCCCAAUCGCUCAAAGCCCCAAAUCCCAUUCUGGGUGCAGCUGGGCUACUGCCCAGCAGGCGGUUCAGAUCCAGACGGCAGAGGCGCAUGCGUCACCCUGGGACGAGUGUCUGACUUCAGCUCUUACGUGGGGAGAGAAGUAGAAGGUGGAAGCAGAAAGAAAGAGCAGAAGUUCUGGAGUCAGCCAGACCUGUUGUGUGACCUUGGGCAAGUGACUUUGCCUCUCUGAGCCCUGACUAUUUAGUCUUCAUACUG